RNAcentral lists this ribosomal RNA (510 nucleotides) under uncultured microorganism. RNAcentral describes it as "bacterial SSU rRNA". It matches the Rfam family "Bacterial small subunit ribosomal RNA", at positions 9 to 503 of the family's 1533-position model. The record is from RNAcentral.
GAGUUGAUCUUGGCUCAGGAUGAACGCUGGCGGCGUGCCUAAUACAUGCAAGUCGAGCGAACGGACGAGAAGCUUGCUUCUCUGAUGCUAGCGGCGGACGGGUGAGUAACACGUGGAUAACCUACCUAUAAGACUGGGAUAACUUCGGGAAACCGGAGCUAAUACCGGAUAAUAUUUUGAACCGCAUGGUUCAAAAGUGAAGACGGUCUUGCUGUCACUUAUAGAUGGAUCCGCGCUGCAUUAGCUAGUUGGUAAGGUAACGGCUUACCAAGGCAACGAUGCAUAGCCGACCUGAGAGGGUGAUCGGCCACACUGGAACUGAGACACGGUCCAGACUCCUACGGGAGGCAGCAGUAGGGAAUCUUCCGCAAUGGGUGAAAGCCUGACGGAGCAACGCCGCGUGAGUGAUGAAGGUCUUCGGAUCGUAAAACUCUGUUAUUAGGGAAGAACAUAUGUGUAAGUAACUGUGCACAUCUUGACGGUACCUAAUCAGAAGGCCACGGCUAACUA